This is a non-coding RNA of Canis lupus familiaris (dog), 107 nucleotides long. The record is from Rfam. NCBI's taxonomy places the organism in Eukaryota, Metazoa, Chordata, Mammalia, Carnivora, Canidae.
GUGCUCUCUUCGGCAGCACAUGUACUAAAAUUAGAACAAUACAGAGGAGAUUAGCAUGGCCCCUGUGUAAGGAUGACACGCAAAUUUGUGAAACACUCCAUAUUUUU